Molecule: ribosomal RNA, 548 nt
Filed under: Alternaria alternata
Lineage: Eukaryota; Fungi; Ascomycota; Dothideomycetes; Pleosporales; Pleosporaceae
Description: eukaryotic LSU rRNA
Rfam family: 5.8S ribosomal RNA (bases 173-326)
Source: RNAcentral
GGGGGUACCAAAAUAAAAGGCGGGGCUGGAACCUCUCGGGGUUACAGCCUUGCUGAAUUAUUCACCCUUGUCUUUUGCGUACUUCUUGUUUCCUUGGUGGGUUCGCCCACCACUAGGACAAACAUAAACCUUUUGUAAUUGCAAUCAGCGUCAGUAACAAAUUAAUAAUUACAACUUUCAACAACGGAUCUCUUGGUUCUGGCAUCGAUGAAGAACGCAGCGAAAUGCGAUAAGUAGUGUGAAUUGCAGAAUUCAGUGAAUCAUCGAAUCUUUGAACGCACAUUGCGCCCUUUGGUAUUCCAAAGGGCAUGCCUGUUCGAGCGUCAUUUGUACCCUCAAGCUUUGCUUGGUGUUGGGCGUCUUGUCUCUAGCUUUGCUGGAGACUCGCCUUAAAGUAAUUGGCAGCCGGCCUACUGGUUUCGGAGCGCAGCACAAGUCGCACUCUCUAUCAGCAAAGGUCUAGCAUCCAUUAAGCCUUUUUUUCAACUUUUGACCUCGGAUCAGGUAGGGAUACCCGCUGAACUUAAGCAUAUCAAUAAGCGGAGGAA